AACGAACGCUGGCGGCAUGCCUAACACAUGCAAGUCGAACGGGAUCCUAGCUUGCUAGGUGAGAGUGGCGGACGGGUGAGUAACACGUGGGAAUCUGCCUUUUGGUUCGGGAUAACCGCGGGAAACUGCGGCUAAUACCGAAUGCCCUCGAGAGAGGAAAGAUUUAUCGCCAGAAGAGGAGCCCGCGUCCGAUUAGGUAGUUGGUGGGGUAAAGGCCUACCAAGCCGACGAUCGGUAGCUGGUCUGAGAGGAUGAUCAGCCACACUGGGACUGAGAUACGGCCCAGACUCCUACGGGAGGCAGCAGUGGGGAAUAUUGGGACAAUGGGGGCAACCCUGAUCCAGCAAUGCCGCGUGAGUGAUGAAGGCCUUAGGGUUGUAAAGCUCUUUUGCCAGGGAAGAUGAUGACUGUACCUGGAGAAUAAGCCCCGGCUAACUUCGUGCCAGCAGCCGCGGUAAU
RNAcentral lists this ribosomal RNA (459 nucleotides) under uncultured bacterium. RNAcentral's name for it is "bacterial SSU rRNA". It matches the Rfam family "Bacterial small subunit ribosomal RNA", at positions 29 to 524 of the family's 1533-position model. The record is from RNAcentral.